AAGUCGUAACAAGGUUUCCGUAGGUGAACCUGCGGAAGGAUCAUUAUCACGUAUCCACGUAUAAACCAUUGUGAACUAGUAUCUUUUAUCCUUUGAAGAGAGUGAGGUAGUGGGAUUAUAAACAUAUGGAACUCUAUUUCUUGUGAUUUGUAGUUUCGUUUAUAAUCUCCAAUGUGUUUUAAGAUUUUCUAAAUCUUUUUUCACAUACUCGUUCACUUUAAAGUGUAUUUUAAAUCACUUGUUAUUUUAUAUUAACAUUUUAAACUCAAUUUUAUAAACUUUGAACUGACUUUAUUUCUUACUCUUCGGAGAAGAAAUUUCAUUACGAAACAUAAGAACAACUCUUAGCAACGGAUAUCUUGGUUCUC
This 368-nucleotide unclassified non-coding RNA is filed under the name fungal sp. Its description in RNAcentral is "partial internal transcribed spacer region". The stretch from base 1 to 46 matches the Rfam family "Eukaryotic small subunit ribosomal RNA", at positions 1786 to 1831 of the family's 1831-position model. Lineage: Eukaryota; Fungi. The record is from RNAcentral.